UGCCCAGCUAUUUCACAUGGACCGGCUCCAGCUGAUCAGCACAAUGUCACGGUGUUCCUAUGAAUGUGAUCAUAGGUGAUCGCCUGAACUCUGCAUAUAGACUCUGCAUCCGUGUUCACUCAUUCAGUUUACAUGAGCGAUGCUGCCUCAAAGCUCAAACAGAGUGAUGGAACCUGGUGUGGCAUCAGAAAAUAUCCCAGAAAGACCCAGAGCAAUCUGGUGCGUGAAUUACCGUCUCCUCUGAUCAUCACAGAUAUCGUUCUCUUGACAGUGCACUGAAGUAGCUAGGCAAUGCAAGUCUCUGUCGCCCUGUCCCUGAUUGUUCAGCACCUCGUUAUGGCAGUGCAUGAUCCUUGCCGGUUCAGAAUUCCAGCUGCUGGUCUCCUCAUUUGCCGAUCCAGUUACAGGAGAGUCUGUAACCUGAGCCGGCAUGAAAAAUUCCUCCGCCGCGAUCCAAUCCAGUUCCGCCAAUCGAAUCAAUACUGCAGUGACCAAUCAAUCAGAUUAUCAAAGUAAACUGUUUGGUGGAACUGACAAUCUUGAUUUGUUUCCAUCGUUUCACAUGCUUGUCAAAUGCAAAACGACUCACCUUUCUGAUGACUGUUGAAGCCCAGAAUAGCUUGUGGGCUGGAAACCUGUCUGAUGGAGACAGAUAGUUCAGAGAAGCACGGAUGACUGUAUGAACGAACGGUUUGGA
This 697-nucleotide long non-coding RNA is filed under the name Setaria italica (foxtail millet). RNAcentral's name for it is "long non-coding RNA (SITA_LNC006234)". Lineage: Eukaryota; Viridiplantae; Streptophyta; Magnoliopsida; Poales; Poaceae. The record is from RNAcentral.